This 1473-nucleotide small RNA is filed under the name Arabidopsis thaliana (thale cress). RNAcentral describes it as "ATSL244160". Lineage: Eukaryota; Viridiplantae; Streptophyta; Magnoliopsida; Brassicales; Brassicaceae. The record is from RNAcentral.
UUAUGAGAGAAAUAGAUUGAUCACUCUCAUGGGCAAUAGAGAUCCCCACUGGAGGCCAACUCCGACUUCUCUCCUUCGCUGUCUUUCGUGAUUCAGCUCUAAUUCUAGUCCUCUUUAAGGGAGAAGAAGCUUUUCCAGAAGCACCAGGCCCCUGACUCUUCACCACUUUCGACCCAUUAGUCUCGAUAGCAAGAGACGUGGAGGUCACUGCGACCACAGAGCCUGCUGGAAUCAACCCCUUGACCACACCGCCUUGAGCUUUCCUCAUAAGAGGCUUCGGACACCGAUUUAGCAAAUGUCCAAACCGCCCGCAAUUGCAACACUUAGGUGGCAGUCUUGGGUAAGACACACGCACUUUCACAGAGUUCAAUAAAGCGUCUCUCACAAAGAUGGUCGUCGGAGGAGGAGCAUCCAGCGAUAUCUCCACUUUCACCUUCGUAUUUCCAAAGUAAUAAGGAUCCAGCUUAGAUUUUUCAGUAUGAAGCGGUUCCCCGAUAGCACUUGCUAUGACACUGAUUCCAUCAAGAGAAUACAUUUGAGGUGGAAUAUUUUCCAAGAUAGCCCAUGUCGGAGCCGUCUCCAACUCUGGCAAAAACAAUGAAGCAUCUGUCGACCAAGGAUAAACUGAGAAAGAAACAUUUCCUGCUUGCCAAUACCCAACCUGUAACACCCAUUCCCUAGUCGAGGUGCACGGUAUCAUAAUCAGACAAGAAGUAUCUGAGACUGCUCUAAUAACAAUAUUCCCGAAUUUUCCCCAGGCUGGAUUCAAAUCUGAGAAAAUUUUGGAGGAAGGUGGAAUGAGACCGUGAAACUUCGCAACUAUAUGACCUUUCCAUUGAUCUGCUGCUUUCAAUAACACUGAGGCUGGGGCUUGAACUACUGGAGUACCAUCUUCUAGGCACACCGGAGAGGAUAUUUUUUUCAGAUUCCUUAAAGAAGCCUUGAACCGCUCUGCGUAAGAAGGCGCUGCGGUAGAAGGAAUAUUCGCUGGGAUCGAAGACUGAGGCGAAGAUAACUGACACCUCGGCACUGAGAUGAGAGGCGGCACAACAGGAGAAACAACCACCACCACAACCGACGGAGCUGGAAGAGCUGGUUCACAAGGCUCAGGAGCUAAAGGCGACGCAUCCAAAGAAGCAGCAACCGCCAAAGGAAGCGGAUCUGAAGGAAGAGCUACCCGAAGAACAGGACUGAGAGACGGCUCAGCUAAAGGUUCAACAACCACCAAAUCAGGCGGAUCUGGGGAAGAACGAGCAGAGGAUCUACAAUCUUCAUCUUGGCAGAAAGGAAAAAGGGGGGAGAAAGGAGAAUUUCUCAGAUAUAAACGUAUUUUUUUUUUCCUCUGUGCCAUAUUUUCUAAUUCAAUAUUCUAAUUCAUUCAUUUAAUUACUACGAAUUUUUAUAAAGUUUCUAUGGUCCCUAAGAUGUGAUCGUUUAUCUGCUUUUUGUUCCUAAAAAUUCAUUCUCCUCUAA